This 256-nucleotide ribosomal RNA is filed under the name uncultured bacterium. RNAcentral describes it as "partial 16S ribosomal RNA". It matches the Rfam family "Bacterial small subunit ribosomal RNA", at positions 524 to 776 of the family's 1533-position model. The record is from RNAcentral.
UACGUAGGGUGCGAGCGUUGUCCGGAUUUAUUGGGCGUAAAGGGCUCGUAGGCGGCGUGUCGCGUCGGGGAGUGAAAGCCCGCUGCUUAACGGCGGGUUGGCUUCCGGUACGGGCAUCGCUGGAGUGCGGCAGGGGAGACUGGAAUUCCUGGUGUAGCGGUGGAAUGCGCAGAUAUCAGGAGGAACACCGGUAGCGAAGGCGGGGUCUCUGGGCCGUUACUGACGCUGAGGAGCGAAAGCGUGGGGAGCGAACAGG